Molecule: ribosomal RNA, 1203 nt
Filed under: Spiloscapha sp. NLG-2012
Lineage: Eukaryota; Metazoa; Arthropoda; Insecta; Coleoptera; Tenebrionidae
Description: partial 16S ribosomal RNA
Rfam family: tRNA (bases 308-374)
Source: RNAcentral
AUCUUUAAAAACUAAAGAAUUUGGCGGUAUUUUAGUCUGUUCAGAGGAACCUGUUUCGUGAUUGAUAGUCCACGAUUAUUAUUACUUUUAUUUUGAAUUUGCAUAUCGUCGUUUUAAAAAUUUUAAAGUUUAAUUUUUUCAGAUCAAGGUGUAGUUUAUAUAAAAGGGAAAAUGGGUUACAUUUAGAAUUUUCAUUAAAUUGGAUUUGGUAGUAAGCUCUAAAAUAUGCACAUAUCGCCCGUCGCUUUCACUUUAAGGUGAAAUAAGUCGUAACAAAGUAGAUCUAUUGGAAAAUGGAUCUGGAAAGCGAAUUAUAGCUUAAAAAGCGUUUUAUUUACAUUAAAGAGAUGAUUGUGAAAUUCAAUUUAAUUUGAUAAGAAGAGGUUAAUUAAUUUGGAUAUUAUUAUUUAUUGAUGGAAGAAUUCUUGUUUUUAUUAUUUUUUUGAAAAAUUUUAUUUAUAGUUUAUUGUACUGUAGGGGAAUUUGUUUUAUAAAAUAAAAGAAAAUUUAAUUUGUUGUACCUUGUGUAUCAGGGUUAAUUAAUUUAUUAAUCUCGGAUUUUAAGGAGUUAUUUUUAAUGUAGCAUAAUUAUUUUUUACAUAUUGAUGGAAAUGAAACGUUAUUCGUCUUAAAUUUUAUCUAGUUGUUCAAGAAAUUAAUUUAAUUAAUUUAGGGUGAGUUAUAAUUUGGGGAUAAGCUUGCAACUUUAUUUUUAUAAGGUGUUAAUUAAAGAAUUUUAGUAGGAUUAGAAAUUUUUAACUUUAAUUUGUUGUAAUUAGGAACUUUAAAUUAUUUAUUGAACUAUUAAAUUUAAUUUAUUAAUUUAAGUUAUUAUGAUUAAAAUAGUAAGAUGACAUUAAGGAAUUCUGCAAUUUAAGUGUUCACCUGUUUAAUAAAAACAUGGCCUUUUGAUUAUAAUUUAAGGUCUAGCCUGCCCACUGAUUAAAUGGCCGCAGUAUUCUAACUGUGCAAAGGUAGCAUAAUAAUUAGUUUUUUAAUUGAAAGCUGGUAUGAAUGGUUUGAUGAGACACUAUCUGUCUAUGGAACUUUAUUUUUCAGUGAAAAAGCUGAAAUUUUGUAUGAAGACGAGAAGACCCUAUAGAGUUUUUUUGUUGGGGUGAUGAGAAAAUUUAAUUAACUUUUUUUAUAUAUGGUUACUUGAUCCUAGAUUAAAAGAUUAAAUUACCUUAGGGAUAUCACCGA